CCUACGGGAGGCAGCAGUGGGGAAUAUUGGGCAAUGGAGGAAACUCUGACCCAGCAACGCCGCGUGAAGGAUGAAGGUUUUCGGAUUGUAAACUUCUGUCGCGAGGGAUGAAGAAUGACGGUACCUCGUAAGAAAGCCCCGGCAAACUACGUGCCAGCAGCCGCGGUAAUACGUAGGGGGCGAGCGUUGUCCGGAAUGACUGGGCGUAAAGGGAGUGUAGGCGGCAUAUUAAGUUAUGUGUGAAAGCCCGGGGCCCAACCCCGGGACUGCUUUGGAAACUGUGAAGCUGGAGUGCGGGAGGGGCAGGCGGAAUUCCUGGUGUAGCGGUGAAAUGCGUAGAUAUCAGGAGGAACACCGGCGGCGAAGGCGGCCUGCUGGACCGUAACUGACGUUGAGGCUCGAAAGCGUGGGGAGCAAACAGGAUUAGAUACCCCAGUAGUC
Molecule: ribosomal RNA, 441 nt
Filed under: uncultured bacterium
Lineage: Bacteria
Description: partial 16S ribosomal RNA
Rfam family: Bacterial small subunit ribosomal RNA
Source: RNAcentral